GGACGGUGAGUAACACGUGGGUAACCUGCCUGUAAGACUGGGAUAACUCCGGGAAACCGGGGCUAAUACCGGAUAACACCUACCCCCGCAUGGGGGAAGGUUGAAAGGUGGCUUCGGCUAUCACUUACAGAUGGACCCGCGGCGCAUUAGCUAGUUGGUGAGGUAAUGGCUCACCAAGGCGACGAUGCGUAGCCGACCUGAGAGGGUGAUCGGCCACACUGGGACUGAGACACGGCCCAGACUCCUACGGGAGGCAGCAGUAGGGAAUCUUCCGCAAUGGACGAAAGUCUGACGGAGCAACGCCGCGUGAGUGAAGAAGGUUUUCGGAUCGUAAAACUCUGUUGUUAGGGAAGAACAAGUGCCGUUCGAAUAGGGCGGCGCCUUGACGGUACCUAACCAGAAAGCCACGGCUAACUACGUGCCAGCAGCCGCGGUAAUACGUAGGUGGCAAGCGUUGUCCGGAAUUAUUGGGGCGUAAAGCGCGCGCAGGUGGUUUCUUAAGUCUGAUGUGAAAGCCCACGGCUCAACCGUGGAGGGUCAUUGGAAACUGGGGAACUUGAGUGCAGAAGAGGAAAGUGGAAUUCCAAGUGUAGCGGUGAAAUGCGUAGAUAUUUGGAGGAACACCAGUGGCGAAGGCGACUUUCUGGUCUGUAACUGACACUGAGGCGCGAAAGCGUGGGGAGCAAACAGGAUUA
RNAcentral lists this ribosomal RNA (695 nucleotides) under Rossellomorea marisflavi. RNAcentral's name for it is "bacterial SSU rRNA". It matches the Rfam family "Bacterial small subunit ribosomal RNA", at positions 100 to 780 of the family's 1533-position model. Lineage: Bacteria; Bacillati; Bacillota; Bacilli; Caryophanales; Bacillaceae. The record is from RNAcentral.